UACGAAGGGUGCUAGCGUUGUUCGGAAUCACUGGGCGUAAAGAGCGUGUAGGCGGUUUAUCAAGUCAGGGGUGAAAUCCCGGAGCUCAACUCCGGAAUUGCCUCUGAAACUGGUAGACUGGAGUGUCGGAGGGGAUAGCGGAAUUCCUAAUGUAGAGGUGAAAUUCGUAGAUAUUAGGAGGAACACCGGUGGCGAAGGCGGCUAUCUGGACGACAACUGACGCUGAGACGCGAAAGCGUGGGGAGCAAACAGG
Molecule: unclassified non-coding RNA, 253 nt
Filed under: uncultured Rickettsiales bacterium
Lineage: Bacteria; Pseudomonadati; Pseudomonadota; Alphaproteobacteria; Rickettsiales
Description: contains 16S-23S intergenic spacer region
Rfam family: Bacterial small subunit ribosomal RNA
Source: RNAcentral